Molecule: non-coding RNA, 43 nt
Filed under: Schistosoma mansoni
Lineage: Eukaryota; Metazoa; Platyhelminthes; Trematoda; Strigeidida; Schistosomatidae
Source: RNAcentral
AUCCAGCUGACGAGUCCCAAAUAAGACGAGACGCUUUCUGGAU